Phodopus roborovskii (desert hamster) is the source of this 263-nucleotide long non-coding RNA. RefSeq lists it as uncharacterized. The transcript has 3 exons. The record is from RefSeq and is a predicted model, not a curated record. NCBI's taxonomy places the organism in Eukaryota, Metazoa, Chordata, Mammalia, Rodentia, Cricetidae.
GGUGCCCAGGCUUCAGGGAAUGAACAGAUCAGGGUGCCCAGGCUGCAGGGGAUGAGCAGGUCAGGGUGCCCAGGCUGCAGGGGAUGAGCAGGUCAGGGUGCCCAGGCUGCAGGGGAUGAGCAGGUCAGGGUGCCCAGGCUGCAGGGGAUGAGCAGGUCAGGGUGCCCAGGCUGCAGGGGAUGAGCAGGUCAGGGUGCCCAGGCUGCAGGGGAUGAGCAGGUCAGGGUGCUCGCUUGUUAAAAAAAAAUGUCCUAGAUCAGGUG